UGCAGUCGAACGAGUGCCUUCGGGUGCUAGUGGCGCACGGGUGCGUAACGCGUGGGAAUCUGCCCUUUGGUUCGGAAUAACAGUUGGAAACGACUGCUAAUACCGGAUGAUGACGAAAGUCCAAAGAUUUAUCGCCAGAGGAUGAGCCCGCGUAGGAUUAGCUAGUUGGUGUGGUAAAGGCGCACCAAGGCGACGAUCCUUAGCUGGUCUGAGAGGAUGAUCAGCCACACUGGGACUGAGACACGGCCCAGACUCCUACGGGAGGCAGCAGUGGGGAAUAUUGGACAAUGGGCGAAAGCCUGAUCCAGCAAUGCCGCGUGAGUGAUGAAGGCCUUAGGGUUGUAAAGCUCUUUUACCCGGGAUGAUAAUGACAGUACCGGGAGAAUAAGCUCCGGCUAACUCCGUGCCAGCAGCCGCGGUAAUACGGAGGGAGCUAGCGUUGUUCGGAAUUACUGGGCGUAAAGCGCACGUAGGCGGCUUUGUAAGCUAGAGGUGAAAGCCUGGAGCUCAACUCCAGAACUGCCUUUAAGACUGCAUCGCUUGAAUCCAGGAGAGGUGAGUGGAAUUCCGAGUGUAGAGGUGAAAUUCGUAGAUAUUCGGAAGAACACCAGUGGCGAAGGCGGCUCACUG
RNAcentral lists this ribosomal RNA (630 nucleotides) under uncultured Sphingomonas sp. Its description in RNAcentral is "bacterial SSU rRNA". It matches the Rfam family "Bacterial small subunit ribosomal RNA", at positions 56 to 731 of the family's 1533-position model. Lineage: Bacteria; Pseudomonadati; Pseudomonadota; Alphaproteobacteria; Sphingomonadales; Sphingomonadaceae. The record is from RNAcentral.